This 1185-nucleotide ribosomal RNA is filed under the name Cellulosimicrobium funkei. Its description in RNAcentral is "bacterial SSU rRNA". It matches the Rfam family "Bacterial small subunit ribosomal RNA", at positions 59 to 1169 of the family's 1533-position model. The record is from RNAcentral. Lineage: Bacteria; Bacillati; Actinomycetota; Actinomycetes; Micrococcales; Promicromonosporaceae.
AAGUCGAACGAUACAUGCCCAGCUUGCUGGGUGGAUUAUUGGCGAACGGGUGAGUAACACGUGAUUAGCCUGCCCUUGGCUUCAGGAUAAGUCCGGGAGGCCGGGGCUAAUACCGGAUAUGAACCGUCCUCGCCUGGGGGUGGUUGGAAAGUUUUUCGGUCAAGGAUGGGCUCGCGGAUUAUCCCGUUGUUGGUGGGGUGAUGGCCUACCAAGGCGACGACCGGUAGCCCGACUGAGAGGGCAACCGGCCACGCUGGGACUGACACUCGGACCGAACUCCUACGGGAAGCAGUAGUGGAGAAUAUUGCACAAUGGCCGACAGCCUGAUGCAACGACGCCCCGUGAAGGACGAAGGCCUUCGGGUUGUAAACCUCUUUCAGCAAGGAAGAAGCGCAAGUGACGGUACCUGCAGAAGAACCGCCGGCUAACUACGUGCCAGCAGACGCGGUAAUACGGCUAACAGCGCGUUGUCCGGAAUUAUUGGGCGUAAAGAGCUCGUAGGCGGUUUGUCUAUGUCUGGUGUGAAAACUCGCGGCUCAACUUCUAGCUUGCAUCUGAAACGGGCAGGACUAGAGUGCGGAAGGACAUUACUGUAAUUCCUGGUGUAGUGCAGGAAUGCAAAAGAUAUCAUUGAACAACACCGAUGGGAGAUGGCGUAGUCUCUGGGGACGCACCUGACGCUGAAGAGCGACAGCGUGGGGCAGCGAACGAGACUAGAUACCCCUGAGUACUCGCGACCGUAAACGAUGAACACUACGGGGUGGGCCUCACUCCACGAGAUCAGUGCCAACAUCAAACACAAUAUACUGCCCUUUCUGGGGACUACGGCCGCAUUGAUAACACUCAAAGGAAUAGACGGGCCCCCGCACAAACCGCAGAACCAUGUCAAUUUAUUCCAUGCCAACGCGAAGCACCCUUUAUCAUUGUUUUGAGUUGCCACGAUAAACCCCCUUAACAAUGGCGUUCUCCUUUGGACACUCGCUGCACAGGGUGGGGGGCUUGCUCUUCCUCGGCUCCGUCGAUGGAGAAGUUGGUUGGGAUUAUCUCCCAACCACCGACGCGCCACCCCCUCUCUCUCGUGGUCUGCCCACCGGAAUUGUGGUCGGGGGACACUUUGGAGGUGAAAGCUGCCCGGCGUUCUACCUUUGAGGAGACCAGUGGUAAAAUGACGGCCGAGAGUCUAAA